RNAcentral lists this ribosomal RNA (495 nucleotides) under uncultured bacterium. RNAcentral's name for it is "partial 16S ribosomal RNA". It matches the Rfam family "Bacterial small subunit ribosomal RNA", at positions 28 to 507 of the family's 1533-position model. The record is from RNAcentral.
GACGAACGCUGGCGGCGUGCCUAAUACAUGCAAGUAGAACGCUGAAGGUGGACUUUGCUUCUCUGGAUGAGUUGCGAACGGGUGAGUAACGCGUAAGUAACCUGCCUGGUUCUUGGGGAUAACUCUUGGAAACGAUAGCUAAUACCGCAUAUUAGCUGUUCUUGCAUUAUAACUUUUUGAAAGGUGCAAUUGUACUGCUACCUGAUGUCGCUGCGUUGUAUUUGCUAGUUGGUGGGGUAACGGCUCACAAAGGCGACGAUGCAUAGCCGGCCUGGGAGGGUGGUGAGCGACACUGGGAAUGAGACAAGGCCGAGACUGCUACGGGAGGCAGCAGAAGGGAAAGUGGGGAAAUGGGCGGAAGUGUGGCAGAGCAACGCCAGGGGAGUGAAGAAGGUGUUGGGGUCGUAAAGCUCUGGUGUAAGAGAAGAACAAGGGUGAGAGGGAAAAAUGCACGCUGUGACGGUAUCGGACCAGAAAGCGACGGCUAACUACGUG